Cucumis melo (muskmelon) is the source of this 1747-nucleotide RNA transcript. It is a transcript of the gene named transcription factor TCP14, with no coding region annotated. Lineage: Eukaryota; Viridiplantae; Streptophyta; Magnoliopsida; Cucurbitales; Cucurbitaceae. The transcript has 2 exons. The record is from RefSeq and is a predicted model, not a curated record.
UCCCACUCAUUAUCUUUGUUGCUUAAAGUUUCCCAUUCUUUCUCUCCCCUUCUUCUUCUUCUUCUUCUUCUUCUUAUCACUUCUUUCCUCUUCUCAUCAUCAACAUCAACAACAAAAACACAUUCAAUUUUUUUCUUCAUGUGUCCCUAAUUUUAGAGAAUAUGACAGACCCACCAUUCAUUUUUUUAAAAAAAGACUGACUAAGUCUUUUUUUUAAAAAAAAAAAAUUACAUUUUUUUUUUUAAAUUUUUGUUCUUCAUGCGAUCAUGGAAGGAGGUGAUGAACUUCACCACCAUCAUCACCAUCACCACCAGAAUCACCACCACCAACAGCACCACCAACACCGUCCUACUUUCCCAUUUCAAUUACUUGAAAAGAAAGAUGAGGAUGCUGCCUCUUGCUCCACUUCUCCUUACCCUUCUCUUGCUAUCUCUGCCGACACGGCUACUACGACCCCGACCACGACCAGUUCAGUUGUUGCUGCAGAAACUUCCAAGAAGCCCCCACCAAAGAGAACCUCUACCAAAGACCGUCACACGAAAGUUGACGGUCGGGGUCGUCGUAUCCGAAUGCCGGCCUUAUGUGCUGCUAGGGUAUUCCAACUUACUAGAGAAUUAGGCCAUAAGUCCGAUGGUGAAACCAUUGAGUGGCUUCUUCAACAAGCGGAACCCGCUGUGAUUGCCGCUACCGGAACCGGUACUAUCCCGGCUAAUUUCACAUCGCUUAACAUUUCGUUACGUAGCUCUGGUUCCAGUAUGUCGGUUCCUUCACAGCUCCGAUCUUCCUCUUAUUAUAACCCGAAUUUCUCCCUUCAUCAACAACGUCGAACCCUUUUCCCGGGUUUCGGCCUCUCGUCGGAAACCUCCUCCACCGCCGCUCUUCUCAAUUUCCAGUCCACCAACAUCGGAAACUCUCUGCUUCAAGCCAAACCCGAAAUAAGAGACACUCCCUCUUCGUUAGACCUCUCAGAUGCGGCGGAGGAAAUCAGUAUAGGACGGAAGAGAAGACCGUCGACGGAGCAGGAGUUGUCGUCGUCGUCGUCGCAACAUCAAAUGGGGGGUUAUCUGUUGCAAUCGAGUACAGGAACGAUUCCAGCGAGUCACGGAGGAGCUCAGGUUCCGGCAAAUUUUUGGAUGCUUACGAAUACAAAUAACCAAGUGAUGGGGGGUGAUCCGAUAUGGACGUUUCCGUCGGUUAAUAACAGCGGUUUGUACAGAGGAACGAUGUCGAGUGGGUUACAUUUCAUGAACUUUCCGGCACCGGUGGCGUUGGUGCCAGGUCAGCAAUUCGGGUCCAGCACCGGCGGAGGAAGUAAUAAUAAUAAUAACAAUAAUAAUAGUUCCAGUACUGAAGGACACUUAAAUAUACUCGCCGGACUAAAUCCAUAUCGUUCGGUUUCUAAUACUGGCGUAAUGGAACCACAAGGAAGUGGGUCGCAGUCACAUCAUGGCGGCGGUGGAGAUGAUCGGCAUGAUACAACGAGUCACCAGUCUUAACAAAAACGGAAAAACGGAAACUGUCGAAUAUCUUCGCCGUUCCGUCCCGUCCACAUGUGUGGUCGUUUGAUGUGUGGAAACACACGUGAGGGUGUGAUGAAUGAGAGGGAUAGAGACAGAGAGAGAAAAAAGAGUGUAAGAGUAUCAUCUUCACAUAUUUAUGACGAGAAAAAAAAAUUAAUUUAAUUUAUCAUCAUCUUCAUCAUCAUUAUAUUAAUUAUACAUAUUGUUUGUUAUAAGUUUUGUGACAU